GUGGUGAUGCCUUUAAGCUCUGGACAAGGAUCUGCGGGAUGAUUCAAGUUGUGCAGAUAUGCCAUGUUCGUGUUUAAGACUAUCUUUCUUGUCCUAUUGUGUAGUAGAUUCCGUGGGUUGCUCCUUCUAAGUUGUCUGAUGGUUUAUGAGUUUAAGCGCAUUACUGUUCAGUACUAUCAUACACAUGCCGCCGCCUUUCUUUUGAUUAGGAGAAAUUGGUCUUAGUGCACAAAAAUCCUGGCUAUGUCACUAUUCAGGAAUAAGAGAUGAAUAUGUAGUGAUUUCUGCAAUGCGUUCUUAUUGCAUAGUUUUUUUCUUCUUCAUAUGUUGUCCUCGUUCUGGUCCGCAUGGUUCCUCUGCUUCCUCUCCUGUCAUCCUCUUUCUUAUCUGUAUGCAGAAAACCAGCAUUGACAUUGCAAAACUGAAUUGGGGGCACAACUUCUCAUGUAUAGUGAGAACAUAAUCUAAGGAGUUGUUUGGUUGCAAGAAUGAUAUCUUUAUCGUAAUCAAAUCGCGGAGUUUUAGGAGGUGUAACGAUUUGUUUGAAGUUUGUUUGGUUCGUCCAAGUAAAGGAAUGGCCAUUACGCUGCUCUUCUUUCACUUAGACUCUUGCCCCGUUUGCCGACCACCCUCCUCCCUGUUAGGCUACUCAUAGUGGGGAGUAUCAUAUACUAGUGUCAUGCAUACGAUACUAGUGCAUGAUACUACUUCAUAGUGCAUAGUACUCCUUUCCGGUUUAUUGGGCUCAUCUCAUUUUCUUGGUUUUUCCAUAUUAUAAGUCUUAUUUUCACUUCUUUCCGCCACAUGUUCACAUUUCAGGGCGGUGACGGGGAGGCUGCGGUUGCGUCGUCCUUCGUAAGAAGACCGAAGAGCUCGAUCGAAAUCGGAGUGUAAAUCCAUUGCAGAAUUGCAAAGUCGUCUUUCACGCAGAUGGGAUCGACAAGUGGUGGUGCUAAAUGUGAGAGAAGGCAGAGUGCCUUUACCGGCGGCAGGCAGAGCGUCGUCCCUGGCGGCGGGGGCAAGUGCUGAGCCAUGAGGGCCCAGCGCUCCUUGCCUCAGGCGGUUCACCUGGAGGCGGACGUCGAGGUCGCCGUUGAGCUGCCUUGCAUGGCGAGUUCCGCAGUGGACUCUGGACUCCUCCCUUUCUUUGGUCCCAUGCUAGUGCAGACCAUAUAGGCCGAAGAGAUCCGACAAUUUUAACAACGGAUCAUUUGUAGUUGUAGGCUUGUAGCUGCUAUAGGCUUUCUUCUCUGAUUUUUAGAACAGAUUUGAGGAAGCAAUCAACUCAAAAAAUCAUGUAUUGUUGUGAAUUAUUAUAACCAUACUAUUCUUGAAGUUUCCUUAUACUGGUAAAUUGGUUUAUUUUCUUCUUACAAGGAGUGGUUAUCUGCUUGUGGAUGCAAAUUUUGGAAUCCAGUGAAUACUAGUUCAGUGGUGUAGGGAUUAUCUGAAUUUUGACAAGUGCAGCAGCCUUGGUGCUGUGUUUUC
RNAcentral lists this long non-coding RNA (1488 nucleotides) under Triticum aestivum (bread wheat). RNAcentral's name for it is "long non-coding RNA (TAES_LNC010479)". Lineage: Eukaryota; Viridiplantae; Streptophyta; Magnoliopsida; Poales; Poaceae. The record is from RNAcentral.